AGAGUUUGAUCAUGGCUACAGAACGAACGCUGGCGGCAGGCUUAACACAUGCAAGUCGAACGGGUGUAGCAAUACAUCAGUGGCAGACGGGUGAGUAACACGUGGGAACCUUCCUAGGGGUACGGAACAACUCAGGGAAACUUGAGCUAAUACCGUAUACGUCCGUGAGGAGAAAGAUUUAUCGCCCUUAGACGGGCCCGCGUCGGAUUAGCUAGUUGGUGGGGUAACGGCCUACCAAGGCGACGAUCCGUAGCUGAUCUUAGAGGAUGAUCAGCCACACUGGGACUGAGACACGGCCCAGACUCCUACGGGAGGCAGCAGUGGGGAAUCUUGGACAAUGGCGCAAGCCUGAUCCAGCCAUGCCGCGUGAGUGAAGAAGGUCUUCGGAUUGUAAAGCUCUUUUGCCAGGGACGAUAAUGACGGUACCUGGAGAAUAAGCCCCGGCAAACUUCGUG
RNAcentral lists this ribosomal RNA (455 nucleotides) under uncultured bacterium. Its description in RNAcentral is "bacterial SSU rRNA". It matches the Rfam family "Bacterial small subunit ribosomal RNA", at positions 8 to 507 of the family's 1533-position model. The record is from RNAcentral.